UACACUGUAGCUGUCUUCAGACAUGCCAGAAGAGGGCGUCAGAGCUCAUUUUGGAUGGUUGUGAGCCACCAUGUGGUUGCUGGGAUUUGAACUCAGGACCUUCUAGAGAGCAGUCAGUGCUCUUAACCGCUGAGCCAUCUCUCCAGCCCGGUAAUUAAUUCUUAAUAUAACAGGCAACCUCCAAGUCCCUCCCUCUCCCCUUAUGACAGACCUCCCCUAACAAAGCCAACCUAAUCCUUCCCCAAAGCUCCAUAACUGGGAAUGCAGCAUCGAAACACAGGAGCCCAUGGGCACCACUCUCAUCCCGCCGCACUGUCUGUAUUAACAGGGCUCAAGACCUUAAAACCUACUUUGGCAGGUUUUCUAAUGCAUACCAUCAGUUUUGACUCCCUCUUCAAGGGUCGUGUGUCCCUGAGUAAGAGCUAGGCAAGCAUCCUAGUCUUAUAAGCCGUUGCUGAAUUUUAAAAACAAGCCCAUUUUCUGAGGCGCGUCAAAGUAACUGAGGAGUGAUAAAGACUAAUGUUGGCUCCUUUAACUCUUGUUUCUUAUCAGAACCACAUUCACAGCUAAAGAAGAGGGGCCAUCUGUGCAUUUACAGCUAAAGAAGGAACAUCUAUGCCUUUACUUGCUUGUCAUAACGUCAAGCUAGGAAGCCAACUGACUGGAAAAAAAAAGAGGGCUAUGUGAAAUUCUGUUAGGUUAGAUUAGCCAUCUUUUAAAUGUCUUAUUUUAUUCUACGCAUAUGGGUAUUUUGCCUGCUUGAGUGAAUGUGUGCCUACUGCCCCCAGAGCCCAGAAAAUGGCAUUGGAUCCCCUCAGACUGGAGGUACAGAUGUGUGUGUGAGUCACUAUGUGGGUUCUGGGAUACAGAUACUCACCCAUGACGUCUGGAAUCACAGAGCCAUGUCUCCAGCCCCUGGAUCAGUCAUCAUCAAGACUGUGUGCGCCUGGACUUUGGAAGGGAAUGCACAGCUGAAGUAUCCCUGAACAGCCUUGCUUAUUAAAACAGAAUCCUGAGCACCCACUCUCAUCAAUCAAAUGGUGAAAGGCCUUUGUGGUGAUGCUUUCCAAAAUGGAAGGAGAUUUUAUUGCAGACUGUUGCUUUUUCCCUUUGUAUGUGUGCAUGUGUGUAUGUAAGUUGUGGGGGAGGAGCAGUGGAGGCCAGAGGUCAUCAGAUGUCCUGCUCUUGGCAUGAUCUUGAUCUGCCUUGUUCCUCUGAGACAGGCCCUCUGACUCAGAGCUAUGCUGGAAACCAGCAAGUGUCAGCAAUAUCUCCCCCAGCUCUGCUCCCAACAGCACUGGGAUUUGCAGGCACCUGCAAGGCCACGCCCAGUUUUUUAGGUGAGUAGUGGGGGUUUGAACUCAGAUUCUCAUGCUUGCUUAGCAACUGCUCUUACCUACAGAACCAUCUACCCCGCCUCUGGUGCAUAGCAUUUUAUCUUCUUGUUUCUUUUUUUUUUUUUUUUUUUCUUUUUUUUUUUUUUUCUGGAACAAUUCUCAGAAAAAUUUCUACUUUCCAAGGAACCCAGUGUGUCAAUCUUGUCAGCGUUAUCAGUACAGGGUUCUUGAAGGAAACAAACAGUUCCUUGUCCUAAUUCAAGGUGGAGUGUUUGCUGACUGCAUCGGACGGCUGUCACAUUUGGAUCAGAAGCCGGUUCAGCAGGAAUUCUCUUUACACAAUGGUCUGAUUCAUACAAGAAGUAUUAAGCUUGAAACUUGACUUUUUCUCUUUCCACAAAGCCAAAUGUAACUGAUUGGUCAUGACGGCAUCCCACCUCGGGAGAAAUCAACCCAUAAUGAGAGCACACGAAGGUUCCUUUCUGGAUAAAUAAAAGAGAUUGACCACAACAAAGAGUAGAGUCUUCAGCAAGAUGUCUACUAUAUAUGUUUAUUAGUCUGCCUUCCAUCUCUCUAACAAUGCCUGAACAAACCAACUCUGUGUGUGUGUGUGUGUGUGUGUGUGUGUGUGUGUGUGUGUGUGUGUGCUUGCGUGUAGUAUGCAAUGUUUAUGUAGGUUUGCUCGCCUGUGCAUGUACAUGUCCAUGUGUACACAUGUAGAGGCCAGAGCUGAACAUCUGGUGUCUUCUUUCCACUUUGUUUUUUUGAAACAGGUUCUCUCCCUGAACCUGGAGUUCACUGGUUCAACUGCACUGACUGGCCAGCAAGCCAUUGGGGUCUGCCUAAGACC
Molecule: long non-coding RNA, 2187 nt
Filed under: Mus musculus (house mouse)
Lineage: Eukaryota; Metazoa; Chordata; Mammalia; Rodentia; Muridae
Description: long non-coding RNA chr10:95456978-95459165
Source: RNAcentral